UAACCCCAGGUCAGGCGGGGCUACCCGCUGAGGAUAAGCAUAUCAAUAAGCGGAGG
This 56-nucleotide ribosomal RNA is filed under the name Mammillaria lloydii. Its description in RNAcentral is "partial 26S ribosomal RNA". The record is from RNAcentral. Lineage: Eukaryota; Viridiplantae; Streptophyta; Magnoliopsida; Caryophyllales; Cactaceae.